Long non-coding RNA from Halichondria panicea, 923 nucleotides. RefSeq lists it as uncharacterized. Lineage: Eukaryota; Metazoa; Porifera; Demospongiae; Suberitida; Halichondriidae. The transcript is spliced from 2 exons. The record is from RefSeq and is a predicted model, not a curated record.
CCUCGAUCCCAGGCCGAGUUUUCGCUUUUAUAACGGUUAGGCGAACAACUGGGCCUGGUACUAGUUGUCUGCGCAUGCGUCAAUCGUUUGUCAGAUUCUGACAAAUGGAUAUUCUCGUUCACUUUCGUGACAUUUAUAUUCGUGUAUAGAUACUAUCGUGUACUAGAAGUCAGUUCCCGUUUUAUCAUUAUUGGAAUCGAUUGGAAUGGCUCUUAGCUGAAGCUUCUCUCUUCUCUGAAGCUUAUUCUGAAGACUGAACAACAAGGGAAGAGGUAUAAAGCUUUGUCAAGCUUGUUAAGGUCAGAUAUUUUUGUGUGGGCCCUAUGGCCGGCUAUGCUAUCAAGUCUUGUUCAUGUUUGGCAAGAAUGUAGGUAGACUAUAGUUUCAUCAUUAAUAUGGUGGAUCAAGUGAAGAGUGUGAGCUAGAGAACUUGGUGCUGCCAUCAUCAGCUCGUCGACAAUGACACUAUAACCGAGAAAUUUAAUAUGUAUAGAUCUACACGUAUUUAAAAUGUCUACUUCUCUGUACAGGAGCAAUGGCUAAUAUCCAGCUAUCCCAACAGUGCUCCUCUUGGCUAUACUAACGGACGAGACUGGACAGUUUGAGACACAGGACUGGAGUAUGACCUGCUCAUUCGAGCGUUGCUGGGUAGCUCAGAGACAUCAAGAGAAUCUACGUUUUCUCAAGCAAUGAGUUACGAGUUGGGGCCUAGAAUCAGAGAAGUCCAGCAGCCUGCUAAAUCUUUUUGAAACGUAAUUUGAAGGCAUUCAAUCAUCCUGAAGUUGCCCUGGGUCACUGUAAUUGUGCUGCAGCACAACUGGCAACUCCCCAGGCCUUUGUGAAGCAGCUCCCUAUGUGCAUCUUUUGUGUACUCACUCUGUGCAUUUUCUGUGUACAAAUUUCUAUUAUUGAUUUAUUAAAUA